GUCUCUGUGGCGUAAUUGGUUAGCGCGUUAGACUGUUAAUCUAAAGGUUGAUGGUUCGAGCCCACCCAAGGAAGACA
Non-coding RNA from Oncorhynchus gorbuscha (pink salmon), 77 nucleotides. The record is from the annotation of a RefSeq genome assembly. Lineage: Eukaryota; Metazoa; Chordata; Actinopteri; Salmoniformes; Salmonidae.